RNAcentral lists this ribosomal RNA (336 nucleotides) under uncultured bacterium. RNAcentral's name for it is "partial 16S ribosomal RNA". It matches the Rfam family "Bacterial small subunit ribosomal RNA", at positions 338 to 691 of the family's 1533-position model. The record is from RNAcentral.
CCUACGGGGGGCAGCAGUAGGGAAUAUUGCUCAAUGGGGGAAACCCUGAAGCAGCAACGCCGCGUGGAGGAUGAAGGUUUUAGGAGUGGAAACUCCUUUUGGUAGAGAAGAAAAGGACGGUAGCUAACGAAUAAGCACCGGCAAACGCCGUGACAGCAGCCGCGGUAAUACGGAGGGUGCAAGCGUUACUCGGAAUAACUGGGCGGAAAGAGCGCGUAGGCGGGAUAGCAAGUCCGAUGUGAAAUCCUCUGGCUUAACCCUAGAACUGCAUUUGAAACUGUUAUUCUAGAGUAUGGGAGAGGUAGGUGGAAUUCUUGGUGUAGCGGUCACAUCCGU